CUCCUUCGUCACAAAAUUGAUGGCCACUCCCUUACGCCCGAAUCGCCCACUGCGACCGAUACGGUGAAGGUAAUUCUCCGGCUGGGUUGGCAGGUCGUAGUUUAUCACCAAAGACACCUGCUGCACAUCAAUGCCACGCGCCAACAGGUCCGUUGUGAUCAACACCCGGGAAGAUCCUGAGCGGAACUCACGCAUGAUGAUAUCCCGGGUGUUCUGGUCCAUGUCUCCGUGAGUAGCCGACACGGUGUGAUCACGAGCUGCCCCGCCCACAUAAACAACCCAUCAACUGUCAGAGAGCAUCAUCCAAGCAGGAUAUCAUGAGAUUUCGCCAUCGUCCAUAUGCGCACACACAUUGCCGACCCCAACAACGCGGUCACACCCAUGCCCGCCCAUGUCCAAUCCAAUGCUCCACUACACAUUUCUAAAACGCAAGAUCCGACCUGUCAAACCCCACCACCAAAGGACAUCGUUCACCAACAACCAACACGUCAUCCGCUGUUGCUUACCGCGCAUCUUGUCAGUCAACCAGUCCACCUUCCGGCGGGUGUUGAUGAAGAUCACACUCUGGGUGAUCGCCAAAGUUUCGUACAGGUCGCACAGGGUGUCCAACUUCCACUCCUCGCGGUCUACAUUCACGUAGAACUGCUUGAUGCCCUCCAGAGUCAAUUCGUCUCUCUUCACCAAGAUCUUCACCGGCUUGUUCAUGAACUUCCUUGUGAUCUCGAGGGCUUCAGGAGGCAUGGUAGCAGAGAAAACACCCACUUGAAGCUUCUGGGGCAGCAGCUGAAAGAUGUCGUAAAUCUGCACGUAUUGGACAUCACUGCAAGUAAGCGGCCUUUUCACCGUAACAGUCACCAACACCCCUAUCAAAACAGUGCGACAUACUCAGACCACUCAACACAAGCGUCUACCAUACACAGAACACCAUCCUACAAGCAUAUCAAGGUCUCAGUCUUCUUGAUUUCACAAGGACGAACCGAUCCACCCGUUCGGAAAGAUAGCACAAAUUCUACACAUCAUUGGCCAUCGCACCUAAACCAAUGACCCCGUCACCCUCAUUCCAGACUGGCUCAAAACAGAGGCACAAACAGACUUGAAAGACGCCCAUCCCUGCGUGAUGCAAUCCCCCUGCUCCAACACCGAACGGAAUACCUGAUCCUUAAACCCCCGAGAAAGCAUCUCAUCGGCCUCAUCCAGCACAAAGCACUUGAUGGAGUCCGCGCGCAGUGCGUUCCUGCGCAACAUGUCGUACACACGCCCAGGUGUACCGACCACAACGUGAACACCGGCCUGCAAAAUCCUCUGGUCCUCUCUCACACUGGUCCCUCCCACGCACGCGUGUACCUUCACCUGCAGGUAGUCGCCAAGGGCGCGCAUCACCUUUUCGAUCUGCUGUGCCAACUCGCGGGUGGGUGCCAGCACCAAAGCUUGGCACUCCAAAAGCUGGUAGUCCAACUGCUGCAAGAUACCAGAGCAAAAUGUCGCGGUCUUGCCUGUGCCGGACUGGGCUUGUUGGAUAACAUCCAGACCCUUUGUGAAAGGGACAAUUCCACGCUGCUGGAUGGCGGACGGCUUCUCGAAACCGUAGGCGUAUAUACCCCUGAGAAGGUUCUCGUGAAGACCCAUGACGUCAAACGUCUCGUGGACCUCUUCCCAAGUAGAAAUGAAAUCAUCUCCCUCGCCGCUCAAGCUGAGCUCAAGCAAAAAUCGGGUUAGUGGGAUUCGAAAGAAACACUCUCAUGAAAUAGAAAAUUCGCCCCCGAAAAAUUUAAGAUCCAAUGCUUUUGGGGAACAGACGACAUUGCCCAAGCAAAGUUAUCACAGAACGAUGUGGUUCAUGCAGUCACAGGCCAAGUUCUUAAAUGUCAGUAAGCAGUGGUAGCACUGACAUAUCAAAAUGUUGGAUCCAAAUAUGGAGGCUUUAGAAAGUGCAUGAUGAUAAUAGCGAUGAUGGAUAGAAACGCUCUUACAUAUUCUCCAUCUUGGCGUCAUAUUGGCGAGCAUCGAACUGAGACCCUUCGGGUGCAGAUCCAGCCAUACUACUUCGCUGCUGUAUUUCAAAGAAACAAAAGCAUGGUCAGCUCCGACACCCUGGUAAAACGCUGAAUAACACCUAUUACAAGAAUGUGACAACCUGCGUCAGAACCAUGACCGGCCACGAACACAUGACCAACAGAGCUGGCGUCUGCAAAAAUCGUGGCAGCUUAACAUGCUAGCCGCACUCGAUCCCUGCAAUGCAGCAAACCUUCGAUCUAGAGCCUACAUGUGCGUGGGGUGAUCAAGUUCCAGUACCAAAACAAACAACAGCGUACCAUAACCGUAUGCUCUGUGGGGUUUCUAAAACGUGGAAGACCCAAAGAGCCUCGAAGAUCGACCGUAUCUGCUAAACUUUAAAAGGGACUCCGCCAAAACAACAAAGAAACAAACUCCGACGUUGCAUUCCUACCCGAGCCCUCAUGAGCCUCUCCAAGGAAACGGCUGCUCCGAACACAUAAAGCGUACCAAACAUCCAAAAAUUGAUGCCCAAAUAGCGUCAUGCCCCCGCGAUCUCAAUCCAUCGCUGCACUAAUCUCACGGAUGUAGUGCAAAUGAGAAAGGUUUAGGGGGCGCAUCAUGUGCGUUUCGAUUCGCGCGCACAGCGAGAAGUCGAGAAACCAACCAUAGCGGUUGGCGGCCAAGUUCGAAGCACACAAAUGCCCCCACUCUAAGCCUCCGCCCAGAGAAACAACGCGAGGACAAGGGCACCCACAGCUCACCCCGAGCACGAACGCAAAAGCAGGCGUAAAUGCUCUCGAUCCCUAACAUUAGACCAAAACCUGAUAAAUGCAUCGCCUCUUGAUGCAUCCUCUUCAAAAACUUGGUGGCAAAUACAAAACUCCAACUCAAAAAAAGUAAAAUAAAAUAAAAAUUGAAGAGCUCCCACAGCGGCCAAUCACGUCGUUCCUCCCCAAACACCGCGACCAGCAACACAUGUCCACCAAACCACACCUCCCACUCCCUAAAGUGUCACAAAAAUCUGUCGCAGCAUCGGAGGGGCGGGAGAGAAACCCUAACCUAAAAGAUGCAAUACACCACCAAACGUGGGGUAAAAGGCUUCACGAGAUACAGCACACAUAAAUGAGAAACAAAGGCAGAAAAAUGCAAGACUGCGUUACCGGGCAAUUGCGGAGGAAGUGGAAGAGAGAGCGUCAAAGGAAACGAGCGUGACGGC
RNAcentral lists this long non-coding RNA (3211 nucleotides) under Physcomitrium patens. Its description in RNAcentral is "long non-coding RNA (PPAT_LNC003902)". Lineage: Eukaryota; Viridiplantae; Streptophyta; Bryopsida; Funariales; Funariaceae. The record is from RNAcentral.